CCUACGGGUGGCAGCAGUCGAGAAUAAUUCACAAUGGGGGAAACCCUGAUGGUGCGACGCCGCGUGGGGGAAUGAAGGUCUUCGGAUUGUAAACUCCUGUCAUGUGGGAGAAAAUUAAAAAGAUAGUACCACAUGAGGAAGAGAUGGCUAACUCUGUGCCAGCAGCCGCGGUAAUACAGAGGUCGCAAGCGUUGUUCGGAAUCACUGGGCGUAAGGUGUGCGUAGGCUGGUUGGUAAGUCGUGUGUGAAAGGCGCGGGCUCAACCCGCGGACGGCACAUGAUACUGCGAGACUAGAGUAAUGGAGGGGGAACCGGAAUUCUUGGUGUAGCAGUGAAAUGCGUAGAUAUCAGGAAGAACACUGGUGGCGAAGGCGGGUUCCUGGACGAUAACUGACGGUGAGGCGCGAAAGCGUGGGGAGCAAAAAGGAUUAGAUACCCGGGUAGUC
This 446-nucleotide ribosomal RNA is filed under the name uncultured bacterium. RNAcentral describes it as "partial 16S ribosomal RNA". It matches the Rfam family "Bacterial small subunit ribosomal RNA", at positions 338 to 795 of the family's 1533-position model. The record is from RNAcentral.